Molecule: non-coding RNA, 26 nt
Filed under: Cricetulus griseus (Chinese hamster)
Lineage: Eukaryota; Metazoa; Chordata; Mammalia; Rodentia; Cricetidae
Source: RNAcentral
CGAGACACUAUGACCCUCUCAAGGCU